AAGGGCAUAUCUCAGUGGUAGAGCACAUGCUUAGUAUGCACGAGGUCCUGGGUUCAAUCCCCAAUAUCUUUA
Molecule: transfer RNA, 72 nt
Filed under: Camelus bactrianus (Bactrian camel)
Lineage: Eukaryota; Metazoa; Chordata; Mammalia; Artiodactyla; Camelidae
Also listed under: 2 other names
Rfam family: tRNA
About the family: Transfer RNA (tRNA) molecules are approximately 80 nucleotides in length.
Source: Rfam by way of RNAcentral